GUGGACUGACUGAUGAAUACAGAUUGCUCCUGACUCCCAGAGAACCAAGCCAUGACAUCAAAACCUGACUAUGCCAGCACACAGGAACUAUGCCUGAAAGGCACUGAACAACUUCUACAGACUCUUAAGAACCAUGCAUCAGCAAGAAGGCCCAGUUUUGCAAAAAGGAGGUGCAAUAUUUGAGCUACAUCCUAAGAGGAGAAUUUCCUUCCAGAUCUCUGCUGCCCAACCCAGCUUGGAGACACCAGUUCAUGACUGUGUGGAACUUGGAAGCGGACUUCCAAGACACAGCUCUUUUAGUUGCAGAGGUAACCUGGUUCGCUGAUGGCAGCAGCUUCAUGCAGGAUGGUAGUGUCAAAGAAAAAUCAUCUGGGCAGAGGCUUUACUUAUUGAAACAUCAGCUCAACGGACUGAGCCAGUUGCACUAGCAAAGACUCUGACUUUAGGAAAGGACAAAAAGCUAAGUAGCUACACUGGCAGUCAGUAUGUCAGUGGAAGGACAGCUUAUCCUGCCUGCUGAUCUAGGUGAUCAAAUCCUAAUCAAGAUGCACAAUCCACUCACAUGGGCACCUGGAGAAUGCAGGAUCUGAUUCGUCAUGCAGAGCUCAGGUUUCAGGAUUCCACUUCCAACAGUGAUAAAGUCGUGGCCAGCUACAAGCCUGUUAGCUCACUAAUGCAGCGAAGAACAGCACAACUCAAGGGGCACAGCUGUGAGGCACCCAACCCAGUGGGUUUUGGGGAAGUCAAUUUCACUGAGGUUAAGCCCGGAAAAUACAGGUACAGGUGUUUGUAGGCACCUUUCCAGGUUGGACUGAAGUGUUUCCUACCAAACAUGAGACUGUUCCGACAGUGGCAGAGAAAUUCCUUGAAGGCAUCCUACCACAGAUGACAGGGUCAGAUAAUGGACCAGGGUUCCUUUUGGGCAUGCUCUGUCCUUUACAUGUUGUCCUGGGUCAGGUGUUCUUAGUAUUUUUCUCUGACCUAUAUUAAAAUUAUUAUGUCUCCCCCCCUCCCUAGUCUCUUUUCAGAGAGUCACUCUCAGGACAUACUUUAAUAGGCCCGAGCAAAGGUGCGGUGGUUUCAGUCAGUUUGAGAUAGACAAAGGUUGCCUCUUAGGCAACUGUUGUCAUCUGGGGCCACAGCAAAAGGGUUGUCUGUAGCAUGAUUAGCAAGAGUGUUCUGCAGGGGUCUAGCUCAUGGUAGGGGUGCCUGUACUGCUUAGCUUGGUGACUUCUGAAACUGCUUCAAAAGCUCUCAUUUGGGCCCUCCCUGGGUUUCAUCACCUCUCCUGAGGGGAGACAUGCCAUUUAGGCACAAUAGUCUUUCUGUGUUAGUAACAGACUUUAACAUUAGCAAGAGAAGUUACAUCUCAAACCCUGGGCCAGUGGGUGGUUCUUAUUAAGCUCCUACACACUUAAACAAAAUGAAAUAAUAAGAACAGCUAUUGUAAGUGAAAGGAUUAAUAUCAACUCAGGACCUCUAAGACCAAGUGCUCAGGACAAUGCCGAUUUAUUUGAUAUAUAUAAUUUAUAAAUAGUAUGGAUAAGGGACAAAGGCAGGAAAUAUAGAGGAUGAGGGAGAAGGGGAAGGUCACACUGGAAAGAGGGCAGGGAUAUUUGUCCCAGAGGACAAAGGCCUGCCUCUGGAUAGAGAGAAGACUGACAUGGCCCAUAGGCAAAUCGCAGUUUAUAAAGGCAAAAGGAGAAAACCCAUGUUAGGAUAAGGUGUUUAAUUUUAAUUGGGAAUGCUAAUUAGGUGAACCAACGGGGCUUUUAAUUGCUGGACUUCAAGACUUUGAUACCUGUACCUUGGUGGUCAGCCUCAAGAAGAGGAACUGGACAAGUAAGGGAAUAGAACUUCUGGGAUGGCUUAAGAAAUGCUCUUUGGCAAGGCAGAGGAGACUGGGGAGAAGGGCAGGGCUUGUCUGAACCAUGUUUGCCAGGCCUGGGCUGUCUAGAGUCUGUUGUGUUUUAUAAAAAUAGAGAGAAAGAAUAUGUUUGGUGGAGAUUCAGUAAGGUGUGGAGGAAGCAGGUGCCUCUGUAGGCCCAUGGUGAGGCAUCCCUUACCCCUAAGGGAACAGCCACAUGACAACAGUAUAGUAUAGAGUUUGUUUAUUCAGGGCAUA
Long non-coding RNA from Mus caroli (Ryukyu mouse), 2125 nucleotides. RefSeq lists it as uncharacterized. Lineage: Eukaryota; Metazoa; Chordata; Mammalia; Rodentia; Muridae. The record is from RefSeq and is a predicted model, not a curated record.